GGCCUAACACAUGCAAGUCGAGCGGUAGCACAGGAGAGCUUGCUCUCUGGGUGACGAGCGGCGGACGGGUGAGUAAUGUCUGGGAAACUGCCUGAUGGAGGGGGAUAACUACUGGAAACGGUAGCUAAUACCGCAUAACGUCUUCGGACCAAAGAGGGGGACCUUCGGGCCUCUUGCCAUCAGAUGUGCCCAGAUGGGAUUAGCUAGUAGGUGAGGUAAUGGCUCACCUAGGCGACGAUCCCUAGCUGGUCUGAGAGGAUGACCAGCCACACUGGAACUGAGACACGGUCCAGACUCCUACGGGAGGCAGCAGUGGGGAAUAUUGCACAAUGGGCGCAAGCCUGAUGCAGCCAUGCCGCGUGUAUGAAGAAGGCCUUCGGGUUGUAAAGUACUUUCAGCGAGGAGGAAGGCAUUGUGGUUAAUAACCGCAGUGAUUGACGUUACUCGCAG
Molecule: ribosomal RNA, 450 nt
Filed under: uncultured Gammaproteobacteria bacterium
Lineage: Bacteria; Pseudomonadati; Pseudomonadota; Gammaproteobacteria
Description: bacterial SSU rRNA
Rfam family: Bacterial small subunit ribosomal RNA
Source: RNAcentral